AUUGAGCAGCCUCGUCUUCAUGCAAAUAAUGUUAGACAUACACAUUACAAGGAUGAUGAGACUUUGGUCAAUAAUUAUCAUGGACAACCUUCUUUGGCUAAACCAAAGUUCUCUAUUCCACAAUUUCAUGGAAAGAAUAACCUAGAGGCUUAUUGUGAUGGGAAAGUUGGGAAUAAAUUAGGAUGUCAAUUCAAGAGGAGAUGGCCAAACGAAAGGAGGAGUAUAAUAUGAUCUCUCACAUGUUAUGAAAUGUUAGUGAUGUAGUUCAAAAGAUCAUAAGGAUUUUUGAUGCCCAAUUCAAUAUCCAACCAGAGAAGAAAGAAUUUGUUGAUCCUUUGAGAGGAGCUCAAUUAGUCCAUUCCACCUAUGAUAAAGAUUCUUUCUUUCAGGAAUUUGUUGAUCCUUUGAGAGGAGCUCAAUUAGUCCAUUCCACCUAUGAUAAAGAUUCUUUCUUGUACGUUCAACCAAAUACAAGAUUCAAGGACAAAUCUUUUCGAGGAAAGGAGGAAUGAUGCAUGCAUGGAUAAGUGAAAUUUAUUAAAUUCUAUUCAUUGAAGUUGUCGAUUUUCAAGUUUAGGAAGUUAGUCAACUUGCAACAACUUUUUGGAUGGGAUCCAAACAUUUCUGGGUUGAGAUGUCUUCAUAGUGUUCGAAUAUCUACCCCUUAGCUUUGAAACUAAUUUUGAAUCACUCAAUUUCAUAGUGUUCGAAUAUGAGUUUAUUAUGGAAAUUAUGAGUUUUAAGCUUUUAA
Molecule: long non-coding RNA, 751 nt
Organism: Gossypium arboreum
Lineage: Eukaryota; Viridiplantae; Streptophyta; Magnoliopsida; Malvales; Malvaceae
Exons: 2
Source: RefSeq, a predicted model, not a curated record